RNAcentral lists this ribosomal RNA (254 nucleotides) under uncultured bacterium. RNAcentral's name for it is "partial 16S ribosomal RNA". It matches the Rfam family "Bacterial small subunit ribosomal RNA", at positions 524 to 776 of the family's 1533-position model. The record is from RNAcentral.
UACGGGGGGAGCAAGCGUUGUUCGGAUUUACUGGGCGUAAAGGGCGCGUAGGCGGUCAGCACAAGUCAGUUGUGAAAUCUCCGGGCUUAACUCGGAAAGGUCAACUGAUACUGUGCGACUAGAGUGCGGAAGGGGCAACUGGAAUUCUCGGUGUAGCGGUGAAAUGCGUAGAUAUCGCUUGGAACGCCGACGGUGAAAACAGCUCGCUGGGGACUCGCUGACGCUGAGACACGAAAGCCAGGGGAGCGAACGGG